CUCUGGAAGACUUUAGUCAGUGUCUGUGACCGGCUCAACAGGGAAGAACAUCUUCCUCCCAUCUCCGAGGAGGAGGGGCCCUUUCUCACCCGACUCUGGGUACCAGGGCCCGAGGACCACCCAGAACAGAAGCCCAAGACAUUGGGAGGGGACCCCCAGAUGGCAGGCUGAGCACCCGGGAAACGAGAGUUGCUUGGUGAGGACGCUUCAGACAUAGACUUGGGGGACACUGUACUCUGUGCCAGUGAGCCCUUCCUGCCCCAGGGGAGGGCCUUAGAGAAGGGAGGGCACCCUGGGCCUCUCCGAGGGCAGGAGUCCUGAGGAUGGGGAGACCUGACAAGCUUAGGGCUACAGAAGGAGAAGACAGAAGUCUCUUUGGAGCCCAGGAUCCUCUCAGAGAGGAGCGGAGGGUGGGGACAACGACUGUUAAAGGCCUGACCCUUGGACUCUGUCCACAUCGGCUCCUUGUUGGCUCUGCCUGUGUCUCUUUAGAACAAGAAGGGCAGGUGUCCUUGGUCCCAGGGGAAAGAGUGGGCAGUGGCUGGCUCAGGAGGAAAGGAAGGGGCCCAGCCCUGGGCCAGUGGGAGGAAAGUGAGCUCCGGAUGGCCAGAGGGGCCUGGGAAGUACUCCAGGGCUUAACAGUUGUCAGCCUCCUCAGGGUCCCCAGCCCACCGGCCUCCUGCUUUGGUGCCAUGAAGCUGAGUCUGUCUGGACAUCUCAGCACAGGGGCUCCCAGCUGGGGCUCUGUGCCCAGACUUCAGAAUCCCACGUCAUGACUGCCCAGACGGGCCACUCCCACCAGACUCGCGAGCCAGGAAAGAAUGGGCGUGCCGUCAGGACGCAGGCCCCACUGUGCGUCAGGCUCUGGACGUGGGAUGACCGGCCAUCCCAGACACUCCCUCUGAAGACACUGGACACACUCUAAGAAGAAAUUAGUACAGCAGGGACCUCACAGAGACAGGAAAGACUCUCACCGAAGAGGAGCAGGAUGGUUAAUCUACAUGUCCACUUGGCCCGGAUGCCGUCCCCAGUUAUUCAAUCAAACCCUCUCCUGGUGUUGCUGUGAACACAUCGUGUCCAUGUGGUUCAAAUCUACAAUCAGUUAACCUAACUAAGGAGAGCAUCCUCAGUAAUGUGGGUGGGCCUCAUCCAAUCAGUUGAAGACCUUAAGAGCAAAAACUGAAGUUUCUUCACGCAAGAAGAAACUGUGCCUUUGGAAGACAGCUCCUGCCUGAGGGUCUCCAGCUUGCGGGCCUGUCCUUCAGGUUUCUGACUUGCCCAGCCAGACCCCACAAUCACAUAAGGCAACUGCUUAAAAUAAAUCUCUGUUUCUCUGGUGGAGCCCUGGCUGCCACAAGGAGGAAACAGACAUCCAGUCCCAAUUGCCCCUCCCACCUCGUUCAUUCCACUCAUUCUCUGAGCACUGACUCGGCACCCGUGAUAAAGCGCCUGUGCUAGACCCCAGAGCAAGAAUCUCGUGGGAGCAGCAAAAAGCUUAUCAUGAGAAAGACCAGAGGCAGCACAUCUUAUCAGCGUGACUUGUCCAUGAAGAGUUGGUGAGAGUGGACUCCUAUUCAACAUAGGACUGGAGGUGUUGGGCAGAGCAAUUAGGCAAGAAAAAGAAAUAAAAGGAAUCCAAGUUGGAAAGGAAGAAGCAAAACUUUCACUAUUUGCAGGUGACAUGAUUCUAUAUAUAGAAAACCCUAAACAAUGCACGAGAAAACUAUUAGAAAUAAUCAACAACUACAGCAAAGUUUCAGGGUACAAAAUCAAUUUUUAAAAAAAUCAGUUGCACUCCUAUACACUAACAAUGAACUAGCAGAAAGAGAAAUCAACAAUACAAUCCCAUUUACAAUCACAGCAAAAAGAAUAAAAUACCCAGGAAUAAACUUAACCAAAGAGGUGAAAGACCUGUGCACUGGAAACUAUGACAUCACUGAAAGAAACUGAAGAAGACAUAAAGAAAUGGAAAGAGAUUCCAUGCUCAUGGGUGGAGGAAUAAACAUAGUUAAAAUGUCCGUACUACCCAAAGCAAUCUACAGAGUCAAUGCAAUCCCAAUCAGAAUCCCAACGACAGUCUUCACAGAAAUAGAACAAAGAAUUCAAAAAUGUAUAUGGAACAACAAAAGACCCCGAAUAGCCAAAACAAUCCUGAGAAAAAAGAACAAAGCUGGAGGCAUCACAAUCCCUGACUUCAAAACAUACUCAAAACUAUAGUAACCAAAACAACAUGGUACUGGCACCAAAACAAACAGAUCAACAAAUCAGAACUGAAAGCUCAGAAAUAAAACCACACAUCC
This 2300-nucleotide long non-coding RNA is filed under the name Equus caballus (horse). RNAcentral describes it as "lncRNA (ENSECAG00000047666.1)". The record is from RNAcentral. Lineage: Eukaryota; Metazoa; Chordata; Mammalia; Perissodactyla; Equidae.